This is a long non-coding RNA of Daucus carota subsp. sativus, 823 nucleotides long. RefSeq lists it as uncharacterized. The record is from RefSeq and is a predicted model, not a curated record. Lineage: Eukaryota; Viridiplantae; Streptophyta; Magnoliopsida; Apiales; Apiaceae. The transcript is spliced from 2 exons.
AACAAACAAGUUCCGCGAGGCAUCACCUAACCACAUAUUCAAUCAAAUAUCAACAGCCGACAAUCUUCCAAAUGCUAUUCUCCACUUUUAUUUGUUCUUAUGUUCUGAACAGUUUCUUUCCUUUAAAAAAAUCCCUCCUAUUGCUUUCAUUUAUACCAACUCAUGUUAAAAAAUCCGACUCUUCUCCUUGGAUUUAGUCCCAGAGUAGCCGAUUCUUCUCUUAACUGCAUCCUACAGAAAGCACCAGAAUCACCCGAGAGCAAGAAAUUCAGAAGAGUCCAUGGCAGGGCAAAAAGGCGAUAAAAUCUCAGGCACUUCAUCAAUCGCGCUCCUUCAAGAGAGAUUCAGACACUUACAGAGAAUGAGGGAGAAAAGAGAGGAAAAGGAACAUCACAGACUGAUCUAUCCAGAGCCUGAUAACACAUUCACCAUGCCAGGAUCAGUGCCUUUCGAGCAAUCCAACAUUAACUUCCAUAAAGACCCGAAUUUUCCAUCAAGAUCAUCCCAGCAAGAGGCAUCACCGCUCCAUCUAGGCCUUGAACUGCACAACAAACACGCGAAUUCAACGUCCUUCAAGAACACUGCCUCUUUAAACUUAUGGUCCAACAAUGCUGCACUACCUGCAUCAACAACAGCAAUGAGCCCAUCAUAUAAUUAUGAUAAAUGGGAUGUCGAUACUUCAUUGCAUUUGUAAACAAUAUCGCCUUUCUAAGCUAUAAUUUUCCAGUCGAGCCUGUUUUGCUUUCCCUUCCAUUUACUGUAAGAAAGAGUAGUGGAAUAAGGUAAUGUAAAAAUAAUAUUGUUUAUAAAACAUUCUCCUCAA